AUUGAACGCUGGCGGCAUGCCUUACACAUGCAAGUCGAACGGCAGCGGACCUUCGGGUGCCGGCGAGUGGCGAACGGGUGAGUAAUAUAUCGGAACGUACCUUUCAGUGAGGGAUAACGUAGCGAAAGUUACGCUAAUACCGCAUAUUCUGUGAGCAGGAAAGCAGGGGAUCGCAAGACCUUGCGCUGAUUGAGCGGCCGAUAUCAGAUUAGCUAGUUGGUGAGGUAAAGGCUCACCAAGGCGACGAUCUGUAGCGGGUCUGAGAGGAUGAUCCGCCACACUGGAACUGAGACACGGUCCAGACUCCUACGGGAGGCAGCAGUGGGGAAUUUUGGACAAUGGGCGCAAGCCUGAUCCAGCCAUGCCGCGUGAGUGAAGAAGGCCUGUGUAGU
This 392-nucleotide ribosomal RNA is filed under the name uncultured bacterium. Its description in RNAcentral is "bacterial SSU rRNA". It matches the Rfam family "Bacterial small subunit ribosomal RNA", at positions 30 to 423 of the family's 1533-position model. The record is from RNAcentral.